GCAUAAACCAGGCUAUUAACUCUGACUGGAGGACUGUCCCAUUCCUUUGCUACUGAAAAUGACUAGGAACAUUAAGUCCUGAAACUAAUGCUGGGCCUUCCUGCACUGAAAAGUAAAACAAGAGU
Lonchura striata (white-rumped munia) is the source of this 125-nucleotide long non-coding RNA. RefSeq lists it as uncharacterized. Lineage: Eukaryota; Metazoa; Chordata; Aves; Passeriformes; Estrildidae. The record is from RefSeq and is a predicted model, not a curated record.